This 995-nucleotide long non-coding RNA is filed under the name Trifolium pratense (red clover). RNAcentral describes it as "long non-coding RNA (TPRA_LNC004833)". The record is from RNAcentral. Lineage: Eukaryota; Viridiplantae; Streptophyta; Magnoliopsida; Fabales; Fabaceae.
UCGUUGAAGCGUUAUUGAACGGUGUAACAUUACUCAAAUGUUACACCGGUGUAAUUUGAUCCCUCCCCAUUAUUAUUAUUAUUAUUAUUUAUUAUUAUUAUUAUUAAAAAUAAAAAAAAACAUAUAAAAGAGAAGGAGCAGCACGCUGCUUUCCCUUCCCCUUUCUUUUUUAAAAAAUUCCUUUUUUUUCCUUUUUAUUAUUAUUUAUUAUUAUUGGUAUUAUCAUAAUGAAAAAACAAAAAUCAAAAAAGAGCAGAGUACUGUAGCAUCACAGUGCAACGCCCCUCUCCUCUGUUUUUCAGCUUUCAUUCCUUUCAAUAUUUUCCAAAUCAAGCUUGGGUCUUCACUAUUGAAUUCAACCAAGCAAAAGUGGGAGUCACUUCAUUCCUCUCCCAUAUCUGCAAUCUCUUUUUUCUGUCAAAGCAAGUAAUAAUUCAACACUCAAAAUUAUCCAAUGGUCAUAGGCAUUGAUCAAUUGAUCCUAUAAAUUGAUCCAAACAAAUCAGAACAGGGAGAGCAAAUUUGAGGAAAAAAAAAAGCACAGCCGCACCUGCAAAACCAAAACAAUCACAAAACCCUAAUUAUUUCAUCACAGAAACCAACUCAACCUAAAAUCAUCAGAGAAGCCAAACCGGUUUCAAUCAAAGUUAACCCAGAAACCAAAUCAAAUUGAACAAAAACAUCGAAACCCACCACCAACACUUUUUCAAAUCAUCAAAAACCAAACGAAAUCAAAAACAACAGAGAAAGAAGAAGAAAGAAGACGAAGAGAAAUUUUAAGAACUGCCUCCGAUCUGUGUUUGGGUGAGGUUUCUGAACUCAUCAUAUUUAUAAUCGUGUAUUAGGGGGUUGAUUUAGGGGGGUUUAGUAUAAGAUUUUUUUCUUUUUGGGUGGUUUUAGGGUUCCGGCACGGCGGCGCCGCCGUAUGGCCUGACGGCCGCCGCGCCGGCGAUUAGGAUGUGCAAAACCCUAGCAGAGCGCUAGGAAGAAAGAAA